CAUCGGUAUCAAUCAUGAGAUCUCCACUCUGGAUCAUUCUACCAAUCAACAUAUGACUCAGGAGAAGCUGCUAGAAGAUUGGUAUUACAUGACAAACAGCCAUUUGCGUGUUUAUUUACACCCCCACCUCCAUGACUCAGACACAGGGCUGCGUGGCACCCAGCGCCAAACAACCCUGCCUUACAGUUUGGAGAAACAGCAAAGGGGAAGGAAGGAAUAUUUGCAAGUUUUGCCGGAGCCUGUUCUAAGCCGCUUCGUUUCCCCUGAAGCCCGAGCCUCGCCGCUGUGGGCCUGAAGGCGAGAAGCCUCCGCGGUGGGGUGGCUGUGGAUGGGGGCUGUGAACCCGCAGAGGGUGUUACCACUAGAGUCUAGUUGUACAGACUCUACUCGGAGCCCUUUAUAAGGAUCGAGUGCGAUCCCUGUUCUAACCAAGAUCCCUCCAGUGUGUGAGGGGCGCGCCUAAGAUCACGGGGAGGUGGGCUUGUGCUUCACAGAAGACACGGGGAAAAAAGACUGCCGGCCGCGCCGCGCCGCCCCUGAGCACCUUUCCCGAGAAAGGCACCGCGGAUCCCCCCGCUUCCUCCUUUAAAGGCCGUAAAACGAGAUCUGGGGUUUGGAGACGAAUCAGAGGACCCCACCAUAACCUCUCGCCGGAAAUACCCCCUUCCCAAAGACGCGCCACUGUGGCGCACGCGCACUCACUCACUUAGCAACACUGGCUCUCCCUGCCGGGAGCCUAGCAACAGCAGAGCCGCCGCGUCCCCCACCAAUCAGCGUCAGCCUCGCCUUUACACGCCUCACCAAUCAGGGCCGGCGCUGCAAAGAAGUUUCCAGAGCUUUCGAGGAAGGGCCCCUUAACUCGAAUUCAUCCGCCUUAUAAUUUUCCUAUAUUUUCCUAAAGGAGGAGAAGUAUAGCCUGGAAUAGAGGGGAAUUGAUUUGUUAGGGUCCUUUUUCGGCUGUGAGGGAUUUGGGGCUCAGUGGACAGGCCUAACUGCGUCACUGGAGGUGGUGCCGAGAGAACUACUUUCUGCGGCGCAUGGACACGGCGGCUACGUAGGCAGUGAUUAGUCACGCAACGGACGUUGCAUAAAUUUCAGCUCCGCCGAGUGCCGGAACAUUCGGAAGCGAGUGGCGUUGUUGAGCGGUUGAGCGUUGGUGGUGAGGCGAAUCGACGUGCUUGGAUUUGCGGUGUCUUCGCAUUUGCUAACAGGUACUGACUGACCCGCAGCCUUCGAGACCUGGGAGGGGUGGAGAGGGCGCCUAGGUGAGAAGAAGCUGGCCAAUUCUUGAGGCCGAGGGGGCCUCACAGAGAGGUGUGGGGGGAGGGGUGGGCGAGAUGACGCGGCGCCGGGCCUUUCCGGAAGAGUGGGCCUUGUUUACGUGAAGGGAGCGGGGGCGGUUGGCGCGCGUGCGCGGGCAGAGGCUAACGGAUACCUAACCGAUGGAGAUUCCAUCGUGUCUGCUUCAGAGGGGGAAAGCGGAAAAAAGGUGUGGUUUCUAGAAACCUUUUAAUUUGAAUCGCUUGUUCGAGGUGUCCCACCCCAUCUCGGUUUAAACGGGAAUUUUCCCCGUGUCCUGUGAGGUUUUCUUUUCUUCGUUUUAUGAGCUGUGCUUAGGUUUUGGGGAAAUUACUGGAGAGAGGAGUACUGAAAACGUAUCUGCUGCAGUUGAGAAAUCUCUGUGGAUGCCAACUUCAAAACAGUGCUUUUGAUUCUCUAGCCGGUUUAAGUUGAAGCUUUGACUAAAGAAUUCUUUGACUAAUUUGUCUAAUAAAAAUCAGUGGUUUGUGAGGGAUGUAGAUCGUUUAAGGUAUUUGGGAGAAUAGAGUUAAUGAUUAGUUUUAAAGAAUUGAUUACAUGUGAAAGUAGUAAGUGUAAAGAUCCUGAAGUGAU
RNAcentral lists this long non-coding RNA (1893 nucleotides) under Rhinolophus ferrumequinum (greater horseshoe bat). RNAcentral's name for it is "lncRNA (ENSRFEG00010012167.1)". Lineage: Eukaryota; Metazoa; Chordata; Mammalia; Chiroptera; Rhinolophidae. The record is from RNAcentral.